Unclassified non-coding RNA from Cricetulus griseus (Chinese hamster), 137 nucleotides. Its record names the gene Telomerase-vert. It matches the Rfam family "Vertebrate telomerase RNA". Rfam says of the family: Telomerase is a ribonucleoprotein reverse transcriptase that synthesises telomeric DNA. The record is from Ensembl. NCBI's taxonomy places the organism in Eukaryota, Metazoa, Chordata, Mammalia, Rodentia, Cricetidae.
UCUAACCCUCAAUUCUGAUAGCUGUGGGUGCUGUGCUUUCGUCUCCAUCAGCUGCUUUUUUCUCUGACUUCCAGGGGGCUGGAAAGUUCAGGCCUGCAGUGAGCCACUGCAUGUUCUCAACCACAAAGAACAGAGAA